RNAcentral lists this long non-coding RNA (933 nucleotides) under Lepisosteus oculatus (spotted gar). RNAcentral's name for it is "lncRNA (ENSLOCG00000021554.1)". The record is from RNAcentral. Lineage: Eukaryota; Metazoa; Chordata; Actinopteri; Semionotiformes; Lepisosteidae.
UUGAAAACGGGUAGCGAGUGUUAUAGCCAUGAUAAGAUUUGGCUCAACCUGCUCGGCUGAGGUUCAGCCCCCUGGCCGGGGGACCCCCCCCUGCAGAGUGAGGGGUGACCCAGGGGCAGCUGCACAGGGGGAGCCGGGGUGGAGGAGGGGGGCAGAAGGCCAAUGGGAGGAGGGGAGGAGGUUGGGGUAUGUUAUUAAUAUUAUACUGUCACUUAGGUAAGAACAUCAGAAAUGAUUACAGCUGCUGUCACUUCUGCUGGACCUUUGCUGUGAACUCCAGCACGGGGGAUUACCUUACAGACACACCGGAGGAAGGCCAGAUCCCCAGCUCACACACCUCUGCUCACCUGUGUAGAUGCGCUGAGCCCAGGGCGAGCGGCACGCCGGCGCUCCACAGUGCUGGCAUGGUAGCGGGGAACACAGACUGCGCAGCACAGCCAUCUCCCUCCAGAUGUUCUGUUUAUUUGAAAAGAAGACGGAGAGAAGGCGAGGCCGACCACAAGACAGGGAAGCUUCUCAGAAUUCCACACCGCUGAGCCAAAUGGUGAACCAAUAUGACAGGAACAUAAAUACAUCUUAUCCUGCCUCUCUCUGCAGCCAAAGUCUGUUUUGCAUUUGUCAGAUGUUGUUGCUGUUGAUGGGGUCCUCAUGGAAACCUCUUAUUAUUCUCUUAAAAGAAAUUUCUCCUGAUUUCUGUCUGCUGGCCCGCUCCAGAAUUUCCACAUUUCAUCUUGUGUUGGGGGUUUCGGAAAGAUGAAGUGUGUGUUUCCAGCAAGCCACUGACAACCGAAGUACACAGUGUCAAAGCACAACUAUCGGAUUCCAGAGUAAUGGAGACCACUUUGACCAGCUUCCUAAAUUAAGCGUAUAAAUAUAAUCAAAAUAUUUUAAAACGGACAUGAGAUUUUUCUUGUAUCAAUGGAAGCUGUAUUU